RNAcentral lists this ribosomal RNA (254 nucleotides) under uncultured bacterium. Its description in RNAcentral is "partial 16S ribosomal RNA". It matches the Rfam family "Bacterial small subunit ribosomal RNA", at positions 524 to 776 of the family's 1533-position model. The record is from RNAcentral.
UACGGAGGGUGCGAGCGUUGUCCGGAAUCAUUGGGCGUAAAGGGCGCGUAGGUGGCCCGGUCAGUUCGUGGUGAAAGCGCGGGGCUCAACCCUGCGUCGGCCAUGAAUACUGCCGCGGCUGGAGCACUGUAGAGGCAGGCGGAAUUCCGGGUGUAGCGGUGGAAUGCGUAGAGAUCCGGAAGAACACCGGUGGCGAAGGCGGCCUGCUGGGCCAUUCCUGACGCUGAGACGCGAAAGCUAGGGGAGCGAACAGG